CUGCAGUAAGGAUAAAAUCAAAUCACAUGGUCACAGAAUCUGAUGAUUGGAAGUAAACUUCCAACUGGAGUUCAGCAGCUAACUAGGGUGGGUGAGCAGAUGGCUGGAGCAUUGGAAGAGAGUGAGUUCAGGAAUCUCACUAAGAAGGGCAAAGUAAGAUGAAAGUUUUGGGGUCAGGAUUGAGACCAGGAGCCAGAAUGACCCCAACCCAAAAUCUCCAGAAAGGAUACUCCAGAAGGGCACAGUCUUGUAGUACAGGAGGAGAAGCCCUCAGC
RNAcentral lists this long non-coding RNA (275 nucleotides) under Homo sapiens (human). RNAcentral describes it as "HSALNT0047187". Lineage: Eukaryota; Metazoa; Chordata; Mammalia; Primates; Hominidae. The record is from RNAcentral.